AUGCCCACCUUUGUGGAGAUUCCUCAUGCACAUUUAGCUGUCAGUGGUAGAGUAAUGAAUGUUGGUGGAGGUCAAGCAUUUAGAAGUGGAAUGAAUAUGGGCGGUACCAUUCAAGGUUUAUCCUCAAACUUGGGCACCAGUGGUAAUCUAAAUUAUGUUCCUGGAAACCCAGCUUUGGGUCCACGUAUUACAAACAUUGUGCGCAGAAGUAACAUUGGGAUAAAUAUAAGCUCUGGUGGGUUGUCGGUGCUGAUUAUCUCAUCACACAUCGAUUUUAGGGUCAAUGCUGCAAGUGGAAGACUAAAUGUGCAAGGAUCCAACAGGAUGAUGAAUGGCCUUAUUCUGCAAGGUAUGCCUGAUGGAGCGAUUGGGUUGAUGCUGAUGCUGAUAUACUUCCCUAAGUUGCUCCAAUCGGGAAUGCAGAUAUACUUCCGUGAGUUGCUCCCCAAAACCAAUCCCUUGCUCUUCUUUGCACCAAUGGUACAAGAGAUGCGAGCCAUCCUUUUUACUGGAUGUUCUCUUGAUCGUUUCUUCCUAUGGAUUUUGUGGUUGCCAGAUGUUCUCUCGCUGUGGAUUGGUAAAAAGACUAACUCUUAA
RNAcentral lists this ribosomal RNA (597 nucleotides) under Triticum aestivum (bread wheat). RNAcentral's name for it is "partial small subunit ribosomal RNA". Lineage: Eukaryota; Viridiplantae; Streptophyta; Magnoliopsida; Poales; Poaceae. The record is from RNAcentral.